AAGACGUCCAUUUAUAAAGCAUCAACAACUCAAAGGAGCCGUCCUCAGAUUCAGACCUCAGCACCACCCAGUGACAGCAGACAGAUCAUCCUAUAUCUUCAAUCUUUGUAGUAACUCCAAAAUUAACUGAAGAAAACAGUACAAAGGUUAAAGUACUACA
Molecule: long non-coding RNA, 160 nt
Organism: Oreochromis niloticus (Nile tilapia)
Lineage: Eukaryota; Metazoa; Chordata; Actinopteri; Cichliformes; Cichlidae
Exons: 2
Source: RefSeq, a predicted model, not a curated record